RNAcentral lists this ribosomal RNA (253 nucleotides) under uncultured bacterium. RNAcentral describes it as "partial 16S ribosomal RNA". It matches the Rfam family "Bacterial small subunit ribosomal RNA", at positions 524 to 776 of the family's 1533-position model. The record is from RNAcentral.
UACGGGGGGGGUAAGCGUUGUUCGGAAUUACUGGGCGUAAAGCGCGUGUAGGCUGCGGAGUAAGUCGGAUGUGAAAUCCCUUGGCUUAACCAAGGAAGUGCAUCCGAUACUGUUUCGCUUGAGUGUCGGAGGGGGUGGCGGAAUUCCCGGUGUAGAGGUGAAAUUCGUAGAUAUCGGGAGGAACACCUGUGGCGAAGGCGGCCACCUGGACGACAACUGACGCUGAGACGCGAAAGCGUGGGUAGCAAACAGG